This is a long non-coding RNA of Oncorhynchus keta (chum salmon), 1279 nucleotides long. RefSeq lists it as uncharacterized. NCBI's taxonomy places the organism in Eukaryota, Metazoa, Chordata, Actinopteri, Salmoniformes, Salmonidae. The transcript has 4 exons. The record is from RefSeq and is a predicted model, not a curated record.
UCAUCACUUUGUUUUAAGCUACUGCAACAGUUGUGCUUAAAAAUGCUAACAGGGAAAAGAGACGUUUUUGCAUACUUGCCAACUGGCUACGGCAAAAAUGUGAUAUAUCAAGCAUGGCCAGGUUCUCGUAGUCUGCAAUCGGAGGAAUAACCUCGCAGUGUAUCCCCGCCCCAAGUUUAAGCACCUCCCUCGCCCUGGUACACCCAAAUAUGGAAAACUCAAGCCCCGGAACUACUGCUGCUGCUAUCCGAUGCUUCCCAUUGUCUCUUGACAGAUUCUACAGUACCCUUUAUGUUUACAUAGUGUAAGGGCGGCAGGUAGCCUUGACAGAUUAUACAGUACCCUUUAUGUUUACAUAGUGUAAGGGCGGCAGGUAGCCUUGACAGAUUCUACAGUAGCCUUUAUGUUUACAUAGUGUAAGGGCGGGAGGUAGCCUUGACAGAUUCUACAGUACCCUUUAUGUUUACAUAGUGUAAGGGCGGCAGGUAGCCUUGACAGAUUCUACAGUACCCUUUAUGUUUACAUAGUGUAAGGGCGGGAGGUAGCCUUGACAGAUUCUACAGUACCCUUUAUGUUUACAUAGUGUAAGGGCGGCAGGUAGCCUUGACAGAUUCUACAGUACCCUUUAUGUUUACAUAGUGUAAGGGCGGCAGGUAGCCUUGACAGAUUCUACAGUACCCUUUAUGUUUACAUAGUGUAAGGGCGGGAGGUAGCCUUGACAGAUUCUACAGUACCCUUUAUGUUUACAUAGUGUAAGGGCGGCAGGUAGCCUUGACAGAUUCUACAGUACCCUUUAUGUUUACAUAGUGUAAGGGCGGGAGGUAGCCUUGACAGAUUCUACAGUACCCUUUAUGUUUACAUAGUGUAAGGGCGGCAGGUAGCCUUGACAGAUUCUACAGUACCCUUUAUGUUUACAUAGUGUAAGGGCGGCAGGUAGCCUUGCGGUUAGAGCGUUGGUACAGUAACCGAAAGCUCGCUGGUUCGAAGAGCCGACAAGUUGAAAUAUCUGUCAAUGUGCCCUUGAGCAAGAAACUUAACCCUACUUUGCUCCAGGAGUGCUGUUUUUAUAUGGCUGAAACUGUAAAACAACACAUUUCACUGCACCUAUUCAGGGUAUGUGACAAUAUAACGUGUGUUUUUUGGAGGGUCUCUCCAUGAGAGAGUAUGGGUAUAUUGAUGAUGAUUUGGUCCUAUAGGCUAUGAAGCAUAAUCACCAGUGAUCUAAUGUUAUGUUUAAUAGUAAGAAAACAAUUUUUAAUAGUGUGUGUCUCUGUCUCUC